GAGGAAUAUUGCGCAAUGGACGAAAGUCUGACGCAGCCAUGCCGCGUGCAGGAUGACGGCGCUACGCGUUGUAAACUGCUUUUAUAUGCCAAGAAACCUUCGGACGUGUCCGAAGCUGACGGUAGCAUAUGAAUAAGCACCGGCUAACUCCGUGCCAGCAGCCGCGGUAAUACGGAGGGUGCAAGCGUUAUCCGGAUUUAUUGGGUUUAAAGGGUCCGUAGGCGGAUCAUUAAGUCAGUGGUGAAAGCCGGCAGCUCAACUGUCGAACUGCCAUUGAUACUGGUGAUCUUGAAUACUGUUGAAGUUGGCGGAAUAGGUCAUGUAGCGGUGAAAUGCUUAGAUAUGACCUAGAACACCGAUUGCGAAGGCAGCCAACUAAGCAGUUAUUGACGCUGAGGGACGAAAGCGUGGGGAGCGAACAGG
RNAcentral lists this ribosomal RNA (423 nucleotides) under uncultured bacterium. RNAcentral's name for it is "bacterial SSU rRNA". It matches the Rfam family "Bacterial small subunit ribosomal RNA", at positions 356 to 776 of the family's 1533-position model. The record is from RNAcentral.